Molecule: ribosomal RNA, 92 nt
Filed under: uncultured bacterium
Lineage: Bacteria
Description: partial 16S ribosomal RNA
Source: RNAcentral
CCGCCCGUCACACCAUGGGAGUUGAUUGCACCAGAAGCAGGUAGCCUGACCGCAAGAGGGCGCUUACCACGGUGUGGUCAAUGACUGGGGUG